CCCGCCUUAACUCAGCCUGGUAGAGUGCGCGGCUGUAGUAUGGUUUGCCGAUUCAGGCAACUGCGCGGCUACCGCGAUGUCCCCGGUUCGAAUCUGGGAGGCGGGA
This 106-nucleotide transfer RNA is filed under the name Methanoregula formicica SMSP. Its description in RNAcentral is "tRNA-Tyr". The record is from RNAcentral. Lineage: Archaea; Methanobacteriati; Methanobacteriota; Methanomicrobia; Methanomicrobiales; Methanoregulaceae.